CGGGGGAGGCCGGAUCCUGGGCUGUGUCCUGGCGCCCUGUGCUUCGGGACCUGCGUUGUUGGAUUCGCGCUCCCGCCCCGCAGCCCCCU
RNAcentral lists this microRNA precursor (89 nucleotides) under Canis lupus dingo (dingo). RNAcentral describes it as "mir-8799 microRNA precursor family". It matches the Rfam family "mir-8799 microRNA precursor family". Lineage: Eukaryota; Metazoa; Chordata; Mammalia; Carnivora; Canidae. The record is from Rfam by way of RNAcentral.